RNAcentral lists this ribosomal RNA (427 nucleotides) under uncultured bacterium. Its description in RNAcentral is "partial 16S ribosomal RNA". It matches the Rfam family "Bacterial small subunit ribosomal RNA", at positions 355 to 774 of the family's 1533-position model. The record is from RNAcentral.
UGGGGAAUAUUGCACAAUGGGCGCAAGCCUGAUGCAGCCAUGCCGCGUGUAUGAAGAAGGCCUUCGGGUUGUAAAGUACUUUCAGCGGGGAGGAAGGUGUUGAGGCUAAUAACCUCAGCAAUUGACGUUACCCGCAGAAGAAGCACCGGCUAACUCCGUGCCAGCAGCUGCGGUAAUACGGAGGGUGCAAGCGUUAAUCGGAAUUACUGGGCGUAAAGCGCACGCAGGCGGUCUGUCAAGUCGGAUGUGAAAUCCCCGGGCUCAACCUGGGAACUGCAUUCGAAACUGGCAGGCUAGAGUCUUGUAGAGGGGGGUAGAAUUCCAGGUGUAGCGGUGAAAUGCGUAGAGAUCUGGAGGAAUACCGGUGGCGAAGGCGGCCCCCUGGACAAAGACUGACGCUCAGGUGCGAAAGCGUGGGGAGCAAACA